GCCAAGAUGGCCGAAUAUGAACAGCUCCUGUCUACAGCUCCCAGCGUGAGCAACGAAGAAGACGGGUGAUUUCAGCAUUUCCAUCUGAGUUAAAAUCCUGGAUAUGGAGUCCGAGAUAUGGAAGGCCAAUUGGCUGCCAAAGAAAUGGGAGAGACAACACGUGCGGUGGCUUCAAAGGAGGAGGGAGAGUUGAGUUUAAACUAAUGAAGUAAAGGCAGGGAUGGGAGACUGAAAGGAAGGAAGACGCUGACACUUCUUCAGUGUGAUUGUAUGCCAUACACUGUGCUGGGUGCUGUUAAUACAACAACGCUUCUGGCUAUGUACUGUUUAACCCCAUUAGAAAUAAAGCAACAGGAGUUCAGAGAAUUUAAGUAACUCGAUUUAGGUCACUCAGCAAUUAGCCAGGCCAGACAUAUACCCAGGCUGAAGGAUGGCCAAGCUCAUUAAGUCAGGCAGCUAGAAUUGAGACCAGUGGUGAAAUAGAAUGAGAGCAUUGAUAUGAACGUGGUUUAUACACUUUUAAGGGCUACGAAGAUCAUUCCAGAGGAAUGAAGGAACAAGGAGAGAAUUGUGUCAACAAAGACUGGCACAUGGCAGGAUUCCACUCACUUUCCACAAACUUUGAAGGAAGAAGUAGCUAAUUGAAUCUGAAGUUUCAUUCACUAGAAACUAAUAGAGAAUUUACAAUAAUUUAUCCUGGAUGGAAAGUAAGAUCCAUCAUGUACAUGUUAGACAAGAGAAGCAUUUGAUCCCUUAUCUUCCUAGUUAACAUUCAUCUUGAACACUGAUUAUGUGAUAGUCUUCCUAAAACAAAUAGCAAGGGGGAUGGGGUUGGGGAGCACACAGAUAACAAAAAAGUUUUGAUGAGCUUUAUGGAGACAGGAGAUAAUUUGUUGAUAUAAAAAUACACCUGUAAUCCCAGCACUUGGGGAGGCUGAGGCGGGCGGAUCACUUGAGGUCAGGAGUUUGAGACCAGCCUGGCCAACAUGGUAAAACCCUGUCUCUACUAAAAAUACAAAAAUUAGCUUGGCGUGGUAGUGUGUGCUUGUAGUCCCAGCUACUCGUGAGGCUGAAGCAGGUAAAUCGCUUGAACCAGUGAGGCAGAGGUUGCAGUGAGCUGAGAUCACACCACUGCACUCCAGCCUGGGCGACAGAGCGAGACUCUGUCUCAAAAAAAAAAAAAAAAGAGACGCUUUUGCAUGUACUUCCUUUCCACCACCAUCUGUCACCUAGGAAAACCUCUACAAUCACAAAGCUUAUCUGAAAAUCUGACUAUAUUCAGGCAAGAUUCAAACCAAGAGAAGUCAAACCUAGAGACACGCGGUUAUGAACUAUAAACUGUUCAUAAGGCCCUGGGGUUUUUCGGACCACUUGUGCCCUAACCAGCCUGUGGGCUCCCAUGUUCAUUAUCCUCCCAAGUGUUAAGGCACAAGGUAUCAGGCAUCAGGCAGUUUUUGUAUUAGGAAGACUAUCACAUAAUCAGUGUUAAAGAUCAAUGUUAACUAGGAAGAUAAGGGAUCAAAUGCUUCUCUUGUUUAACAUAUACACGAUGGAUCUUACUUUCCAUCCAGGAGAAGUUAUUGUAAAUUCUCUAUAUUAGUUUCUAGUGAAUGAAACUUCAGAUUCAAUUAGCUACUUCUUCCUUCGAAGUUUGUGGAAAGUGAGUGGAAUCCUGCCAUGUGCCAGACUUUGUUGACACAAUUCUCUCUUUGUUCCUGCAUUCCUUUGGAAUAAUCUUCAUAGUCCUUAAAAGUUUGUAAACCAUGUUCAUAUCAAUGCUCUCAUUCUAUUUCACCACUGAUCUCAAUUCAGGCAGUUUUUGUUGCACAAAACCUCAGAAACUAAAACAACGAACAUUAUUUGGCACAUGUCUGCAGAGCCCAGCACUGCUCUACAGUGGGCUUGACUGGACAGCUCUGCUGAUCUCGGCUGGGAGCACUGAGGCAUCUGGGGCUUGGCUAUCGCUUGGCCAGUCUAGGCCAGCCUUGGCUGCAGUGACUCAGCUCUGCUCCGGGUGUCUCUCACCCACCUCUGGAAUCAGCGGGCUACCUCAGUCAUGUCAUUCUCACGACGAUGGAAGCAGUGCAAGAGGAAAAGUGAAACAUGCAGGAGCUCUUGAGGCCUAGUCUCCAGACUGGCACACCAUCUUGUCUGCCUUAUUCCACUGACCAACAUAAACCACCAACUUGAGCCCAGAGUCUGGGUAUGAAAGAGCUGCACAGAUGCAUGGCAAUGGACAUGAAUAUAGUGAGGGUGAAGAUGGGGACCGUUACCGGCUCCAGUCACACCUAGUCUGCAAAAGACUUGGCUCACUGGUUGGGCCCAAGAGGUUCCCUGAGGACAAUGACUGUAUCUAUUUAUGUUAUUUCAUCUUUUCAAUCACUUUGCAAAACAAUAUCAUGACUCCAACUUAUAAAAGAGGAUAUCAAGUUUCCAAAACAUGAAGAAAUAAACUACUUAAAAUCAUCUGUCCCUUCACAUUGGAUAGCCCUUGAAAUUGAACUCCAGCACCAUUAUCAGUUGCUAAAGUUCCCGAACCAUUCCAGGGAGGGACCUUCUUAAUGGUCCAAAUCUCAGCCAGGCAUUAUUCUUGUGAUUUCAGGGAGUGCGCGGCUCUGGGCUGAGGCCAUUGAGACUUGUAUUUGAUGGAGAACCAGGCUUUAAGGAGAAGGAAACAGUAUUUUGAAUACAAGGCGCUGCUCUUAUCUUCUAUCAAUAGAUAAAGUUUUGGGAUAUGCACCUUCCACUAAGGCUCACAAAAGGAUUGGCAGCAUUUUGAAAGGGCAAAACAAGUUUUUCUUUCUUUUCCCUCUCUUUUAGGGUGAAGUAGUUGCAUUGAUGGCCACUCUUGGCUUCCUACAGUGAAGUCACCUCAGACUUUGGGGGUUUUUCUACAGAGGUGGAGGUCAGGAUGGGUCCUGGGAGGUGGGAGGGGGUGCUGUGUCCAGCUCCCCAGCAGAUGUACUAUUGUGGCUGCCCUGGGGAAAGGCUGAGAACCUAUGGGGAGGGUUGAGAAAAAAUUUCCAGGAGCUUCAUGGUGGCACCAGGCAGGAGGGAGUCCAGGGCCUUCCUCCACACAUACUGUGCUUCUGCCUACAAUCCACAUCAUACUCUACCCUGUGUGCAUAUCACAUACUGAAGGAACCAAGCUUCAGUUCAGUUUGUUUCCAGCACCUUCAUCUGCUAAUGCCAUGUUAGGCAUGGGAGAUACUAAGAUGAACCAUAAAUGGUCCUUGCCUUUAAAGAGAUUACAGGGUAGUGGGAACAUCAGGAAAAAACAGAAAGGAAAAGAGAAAUGCGAUUGGGUGGCAUAGACUGAAUAGCCAAGGCAGCAUGUAAGAGGCAGUAAGAUCCUCUGGAAUGAUGACUUCGAAGCUAGGAGUUGAAGUACAAGUGGAAAUUUACCAGACGGAAUCUGGAAGAGAGACUUCCAAAGAAAGAGAAGAUGCUGACUCAGUCUUGGCUAUUAAAAUGUCCAUAUUCCAAAAGCAUGAGUAUUGAAUUCAGAUGGCUGUCUAGAAUCCUCCAACAUACUGGACUCAUCCAGGACUCUCUGAGCCUUAGUUGCUUCAUCUGUGAAAUGGGAAUAAUCUUAGGUACCUGACAGCAGUGUGCUGACAACUAAAUGAAAUACAGUUUGUGAAAACAUUUUAUAGGCUAUAAAGUG
RNAcentral lists this long non-coding RNA (3667 nucleotides) under Homo sapiens (human). RNAcentral describes it as "HSALNT0305362". The record is from RNAcentral. Lineage: Eukaryota; Metazoa; Chordata; Mammalia; Primates; Hominidae.